This 89-nucleotide small RNA is filed under the name Flavobacterium xinjiangense. Its description in RNAcentral is "Flavo-1 RNA". It matches the Rfam family "Flavo-1 RNA". Lineage: Bacteria; Pseudomonadati; Bacteroidota; Flavobacteriia; Flavobacteriales; Flavobacteriaceae. The record is from RNAcentral.
GUUUUGCGUGAGGGAUAAAAGUGAAAAUCAUCUCUAAUCUCGUUCUUAUAACGAGAAGAAAGAGAUUGCAACGGAUAGCCCGACCACGC